AGUGAACGCUGGCGGUAGGCCUAACACAUGCAAGUCGAACGGCAGCACAGUAAGAGCUUGCUCUUACGGGUGGCGAGUGGCGGACGGGUGAGGCAUACAUCGGAAUCUACUUUUUCGUGGGGGAUAACGUAGGGAAACUUAUGCUAAUACCGCAUACGACUUACGGGUGAAAGCAGGGGAUCUUCGGACCUUGCGCGAUCGAAUGAGCCGAUGUCGGAUUAGCUAGUUGGCGGGGUAAAGGCCCACCAAGGCGACGAUCCGUAGCUGGUCUGAGAGGAUGAUCAGCCACACUGGAACUGGGACACGGUCCAGACUCCUACGGGAGGCAGCAGUGGGGAAUAUUGGACAAUGGGCGCAAGCCUGACCCAGCCAUACCGCGUGGGUGAGGAAGGCCUUCGGGUUGUAAAGCCCUUUUGUUGGGAAAGAAAAGCAGCAGGUUAAUACCCCGCUGUUCUGACGGUACCCAAAGAAUAAGCACCGGCUAACUUCGUG
This 492-nucleotide ribosomal RNA is filed under the name uncultured bacterium. Its description in RNAcentral is "partial 16S ribosomal RNA". It matches the Rfam family "Bacterial small subunit ribosomal RNA", at positions 29 to 507 of the family's 1533-position model. The record is from RNAcentral.